RNAcentral lists this ribosomal RNA (779 nucleotides) under uncultured Neocallimastigales. RNAcentral describes it as "partial large subunit ribosomal RNA". It matches the Rfam family "Eukaryotic large subunit ribosomal RNA", at positions 23 to 646 of the family's 3401-position model. Lineage: Eukaryota; Fungi; Neocallimastigomycota; Neocallimastigomycetes; Neocallimastigales. The record is from RNAcentral.
GAGAGAGACAUGCGCGCAUAUCAAUAAGCGGAGGAAAAGAAACUAACUAGGAUUCCCUCAGUAACGGCGAGUGAAGCGGGAAGAGCUCAAAUUUGAAAUCUUAAAGGGUUUCCCUUGACGAAUUGUAGUUUAAAGAAGUGUUUUCUGUUGGAGGUUUUGGUAAAAGUUCUUUGGAAUAGGACAUCAUAGAGGGUGAGAAUCCCGUAUUCGACCAUUUACUUUCAGCUGUGUGAUACACUUUCAAAGAGUCGGAUUGUUUGGGAAUGCAGUCCAAAAUGGGUGGUAAAUUUCAUCUAAAGCUAAAUAUUGGCGAGAGACCGAUAGCGAACAAGUACCGUGAGGGAAAGAUGAAAAGAACUUUGAAAAGAGAGUUAAACAGUACGUGAAAUUGUCAAAAGGGAAGCGUUUGACACCAGUGUUGUUUUCUCGAAAAUCAAUUAAAAAAGGCUAGGAUUUUGUGUUGUAUUGACCUUAAUCAGCUUCUGCACUCAAUUUUCUUGUCUUUUUUAAUGCACUUUUCGUUUAACAAGUCAACAUCAGUUUCUUUUGUUGUAAAAGGGUCAUUGGAAGGUGGCUUUCUUUUCGGAGAAAGUGUUUAUAGCCUUUGGCCUCUGCAAUCGGAGAGAUUGAGGUCUGCAGCGUAGAUCCUUCGGGGUUAGACUACAUUUGUGCUAAGUUAUAGCCUUUCAUAGACAACUUGUUGACUAUGAUCAGUCAUGUAGCUUACUCGCUUAUGCUAUUUUACCUACGCUUAGGAUGUUGAUGUGAUACUGCGAGCA